AAAAAAAGGUGUUUUAUUUAUUCUAAGAUCAUGUAAUUAAGUAUUAAGUGCUUUUGGAGAAGUUUUCAAUGGAACCUUUUUAUGACAUUUGCAGUCAUUGCUGCCCAGUUAUUUUUAAAAUUCUGUCCGUCUAUGUGAAAUUAGUCAUAGUUCUCCAUCAAGGUUCAUGUCAAUGCUUUUCUAGAACUGCUUUUAACUAUGCAUUUAGAGUAGUAAACAUUAGGAUCAUUCUCAACUGCUGCAUAUUUUACUCAGUCAUUGCUCUUUGAUGCAUUUAAUCAUCGUCACAUUUGUUGAAGAGAUCACCACAGGAGAGGGCAGAAUAUCAUGCUACUCAGAAUCUGGUUUUCAGAGACUUAAGGAGUAAAGUAAGGGGUUUUAGCACUAGUGCCACUUCAUAUACCAAACCCAACUCAUAGAUGCAAAGUGAAGAGUAGCUGAAAUCUUAAUUUAUCACUGCAUAGUCUUUACUUAUGCCUUUUUCAUGCAAGAAAAUCCCUGAAUAGAUGCCUGCUGAGAUUAGAGAGGCAAUUUUUUUACAGAUUUUAAAAAAUGUACUUUAAAAAAAAUUGUUGUUCAUUUGAGUGGUGUACAUUGAACAAGAUGUGCUUUCAUGUGUCAUUUGUGGAAUUUUAGCCUUGCUCUUGAACCUAAAGGCACUGCUGAAAAGCUGUAGGACUGCAUUGUCUACUGAGGCUGAUACAGUCUGUGUACUUAAGCUGUGAUAAAGUUCAUGAUGAUGUGGUUAAAAUGUUCUUUUUUUCUGCACACUUUUAGACAGAGAGCUGUCUCUAAAAAUGAGAAGAAGAAAAAUGUCAAGCAGAUAAACCAAAAGAAGAAUUGUUUUCAGCUAAAGUUGUGUUUUUCUUUGACGUCUGAUGGAUGAUGCUGUGACUGUGGCAUGGAACUCACUGUUAGUUCUCCCAGAAAGGAGGAAUAUGGUCCAUGAUGCAGAGAUCCUCUCUGGGAUUUUAGGAAUGUUGAGACGUGCUGGUUAUAAAGCCCUAAGUACAAAAUGGUCACGGAUGGCUGGAAUGAGGCAUGUUCUAAUGGAAACAAAUCACUUGUCAGUAAGCAGCCUUCAAACUUUUGAACAAAAGCUCAAAAGGGUCAGGGAAAAGACAUGUUUGUUGAUUUAAAAUGGCUGGAUGCAGGUCAUCAGGAAGGCAUAGGCUUCAAUAUUGUUGAGGUAACUCUUCAGUUCUGUGAGUUAUAAACAAGGUUAAAUACUUUGAUGGCAACCACAAAUGGAAUGAGGAACUUAAAUUAUGCAGAAAGCUCACACAUUAUAAAGUGAAGUGUGCAUAAUACCAAAAUGUAAAGCACGUACACCACUGCAAAACAGCCGCAGAAUGGAGCUGAGCUGUGGGAGCCACAUUUAGGUAGUUGUACAUGACUGUGAGGAAGACUGUGCUGUAUCUACUGAAAUUUAGAAGGGUGACCAGUAUUCCUGUACAUGUCUGUGAUUCAUUGAUAUUUUAGUUAGUUAAAAUAGUGUAGCUUAGCUUCAUAGUGAUUUGAUGAUACAUCUAAAUCCUGAUUCUGUUUAUUCACUUUUCUAUAGAUUUUAACUCUAAGUGAAAUUAUUCAGUACAGUAGUUAAUUUUUUUAUAUCUGCUUGCAAAACCCAUAGUAAGGUUCGUGACCCCUAGAACAACUAUAAUGAAGGAUCAGCUCUCCUUUUUCCUGUGUAAUAUUUUGUGUUGCUCUGUGAAAUGAAAAAUGUUGGUGUAUAAUAAAUUGUAUAAAGUGGAUGAAUUACAGUCCCUGUGGAACAUCAUGUUGAAUCUCUUAAUUCUACUAUGGCUUGGUUUCAUAAGAAAAUGAUGCUUAUGCAAUCUUCCUUUAUGAUUCCUGUCUGUCUGCUAUUUGCCCUCACAAGCAGCUUCUGAACUUGUUCAGUCUUCGGCUGGAUUUGAAGAGUUGCAAUAAUUAUAUUUUGACUAGGUUUGUGGAAACUGCUUUCUGUCUAGAAAGAAGAAGAGAGGCAGAGUUAGUACCACUGUAGAGGGGAAGGCGGGUACAGAAAUUGCUAGCAGUCAACAUGGGGCUCCUUGGAAGAGUACACAUAGUUUUGUGCAUAAAGGAACACAGUGGGGACUGAUGAGUCAGGUUUGGGCACAGGUGACUGGGCAAAGAAAUCUGAAGGGACAAAGGUUUGACCUCCAUUAGUAACCAGGUUUCAUUUCAGUGUUCAUGGAAUAAUUUCAUUUUGGUAUGGAAAACAGCAGGACGAGAAAAUGGAAUGACUCUGUUGUAAAAUGGUAUCUGUGAGCUUCAAAGUGCAGGGCAGUCUUUUGGUGUUUCUGAGGUUUACUCUGCUAAGUAAACAUUAUUCUGCUUUCAAAGGGAAGAAACUGAGACACUUUCAUCACAGAGUUUUGACUUGCACAAAGGCACCAAAUGACUCAGCAGAAACCAGGUACAGCUUACAGAUGUUUAGGUGGCCUAGAAUCGUUUAAUCAUUUAGGCUGGAAAAGAUCAUCAAGCCCAAACUUAAUGCUAAUACUGCUAAGCCCACCAGUAGAUCAUACCCCCAAGCACCACAUCUACACAUCUUUUAAAUACCUUCAGGGAUGGUGGUGAUUUAACCACUUCCUGGAAAGCCAGUUCCAACUUCAGCCCUUCUGCUGAAGACAUUUUUUCCCAUAUCCAAUUUCUCCCCAAAUUGAGGGGCAACUUGAAGCUAUUUCCUCUCAUUCUGCCACUUAUAAUCUGUGAAAGAGGCCAAGCCCCACCUUGCUAGUCAUAUGUCAUGACCCUUUUAGUCAGAUGUAGACAGCAUAAAGUCUCCCCUGGGCCUCCUUUUCUCCAGGCUAAACAACCGAGCUCUCUUAGCCUCUCUUCAAAGGACUUGUGCUCCAGACCCUUCAUCAACUCAAUUGCCCUUCUGGACAAUCUUCAGCAUUUCAAUGCCCUUCUUGUAGUGAGUGGUCCAAAACUGAGCACAGGAUUCCAGGUGUGGCCUCAUCAGUGCUGAGGAUAAGAGGACAAUCACUGCCCUGGUCCUGGCCAAUAUGGCCAGCAACUUACACAGAUCUUCACUCACCAUAUGUCAUAGCCAUGCCAAAUAUUCUCCUUCCUCAAGGGAACCUCAUCACUGCUCCGCAUUCUUACUCUUUAUGUUGUUCUUUGGGUCUUUUAAAUUGUCAUCUGUUAUUAUUGCCUUGCCUGUUCAAGCCCAGCAAUCUCUUGCCAUCCACAAAGGUUGUUGUAUGUGUUGCCAUGACAAGGAAAAUAUCUUCCAAAUGCCACUUGUUUUGUUUGCCAAAUGCCACUAAUAGUUGUUUUGUUUCUGCCAGAAAUGAGGCCAUGCUGAUGAAGAAGGAUUGCAAAGUAGUCUGCAGAGAGCUCCAGGUGGUAUGGACCAAAGCAGCCUGAUACCUGAGUUGGUUUUGUUUGAAGUUAACUUGGAGUUGUCCAUAGUAUCCUGAUCUCCUCACCUGCUAUAAAUAUGGCAGCUAGAUAUUUUUCAUCCUGCUCUUCUUUCCUGACUUAUACAUCAUGUGAAGGACACUCUGAGACCAUGGGGAGGAGUAAUUGUGGGAGACACUUCUCUUCAGAUGCUACACUGCCUAGAUGAAAGCUUAUCAGCAGCUUGGGUUUCUCAGCAUUGAUGCAGGUGGGUUUCCAAACACCUUAUAUUUGCAUUAGAAAUGGCAUUACCCUUACAUACAAGCAUUGUUUCAGUCCUGCUGCACCGCUGAAGCUCUGUGUUGAAGCCUGGUGAUCUGUCAUAGACUGGGAUAGAUCUGGGUCCAGGGAUAGAGGAGGCAUGAGGGAAGGACUGAGAUUUGCUUCCAGUACCAUGAUUAAUUUGUAUAUAGGAGUGCAGCAGCACUGGGAAUAUGCUAAAUGUUGGGCUGGGAGGGAAGGUAGAUGUACUACUGCAAGCUGCUGCUGUGUCUCCCUACAGGACAAGCAGAUUUCUCUUUGCCCAAAUAAGCAUCAGAUAGGAAAAAACACUUUUAGAAAACUUGAGCCUUGAUACUAUACUCAUUUCUGGGAAAGAAUUAUGCCUCCUGCUCAUGUGAAUUGAAUUUAAUGUACUCAUGCAUGCACACACACACACACAUUUUUGGGGUUUUUUCACAUAGCUGUCAAAAAUAACACUGAAACAUGUAAGUUAAGCAUGCUGUUGUAACACAAUGGCACUUCAUUACUGUUGAGGGCAGCUCAGGUUUCCUUCUGAGUGUAUCACCAGCAGGCAGUAAUGGAGUAGUACAGAGGGCAUAUGAAAAGAACAGCGCAACCUCAUGCCAUUUAAUCCUAAAUGUCAGGCAUGGUCAGUCUUCCCUGGUGAGUUUCCCAGUGUAUGGAUUUAGCAUCUUCAAAAAUUAACUCUCAUGGUGUUUAAUUCAACAUAAAUAAGGUAAUAUCAAAUUGUCUUCUCCAGGAGAGUUUUUUAUCCAAAUUACAGCAGUUUGCCUUAUAAAUAAUUUCUCUUCAAUCAGCAGUCUCUCUUUCCUCUGUAAAUCUUACUAUCUUAUUUUCAUAACUUGCUACUUCUCUGACUUUCAAUUAACACUUCGUUUAUGUUCUUUACUUAGACACUGUAGGUGUAGCCUUUUGAAAUUUUUCCCUAAUGUGGUUUUAGUGCUGUCACUUCACUUAGGGCCAUGGUAAUGACUAACCUCUGCUCCUGUACCUCUGUUGCUAUGUUGCAUAAUGACUUUUCAGAAGUUCUGAAUUAAUGCAGGUCGGUUGAUAAUUUCAGGCUACAUGGCAAUAUGGUGCCUAGAAAAAAAUCCAUUUGUAAUCUGAAAAAUCUUAUGGAAGUGUUGCAUAACUUGAGGAAUAUAUUAGCUCAUUAAGUAGAAGCCUGUAGUGUGAGAAUGUGUAAACAUGAUUAUUAUCACUUAAAAAAAAAAAAAAGCUUUAUUUCUUAAGUAGUGUUCUCACAAUACAACAUCAUAGUAGCUCCAGGUAAUGGUAGUUGUUGCAAGGAAACCCUUCUGCUCUGGAGUCCUGUCACCUACUAAAGCUCAUUCUGCAUGCUGGUGCAGCAUGACCUGUGCUCUGAGUUUCCUUGCUAAAUGUGCCAUGUGUGGUGCUGCUGUAGAAAUUCUUGCUGUGCCAUUUGCUCCACUCUGGCCCAUUCUAGUUUGUAUGCCACUCAUCAGCUGUCAACAGGCAAAGAAGAAAAUUUAAAUCACAUGAGGUCACUAGCAAGUAGGUUUUUAGGAAGUUGAUGGAAGAAAACAUAGCAACUAGUAUCUAUAAAAUGUGAGUUCAUUUUCUGUUUAGAAUACAAGGGGUUUUUCUGCACAGAUAACAAGAUACUAUUUUUUAGCUCAUUAUGUAAUGACAAUUCAAGAUGAGAUCAUGAUAGUGAGACCACAGCAGUUACUAGGGAGUGUCCAGAAGCACUGAGUAGCUGGCAUGAUGGAAAGGGUUGUUAUGAAAUUGGUUUUAAAAAUAAUUUUGGAAUUCUAACCCUCUUUUUGCUUAUUUUAAGAUUCAUAUGCAAUGUCUUGAAUGUCUAUGUCGUGAAUUAUGCUGCUAGUAGAUCCCCCCAGCUGGUCUGUCCAGUAACUGUUGGCUAGUAGUAUCAUGUUUCCGUGUUAAAACUUUAAAAAUAAUUUAAUGAUAGCUAUGUUUAGUGACAUCAUUUUAGCACCCAUAUGACUUGACUCUCCCUUGCACUCUGCCUGAGACCAUACAACAGCUGCGUUGUACCCAUAUAUGUCACAGGCAAAUUUAUAGAAAGGGUGAAUUAUGCUGUCACUGAUUACUGCAUCUCUGUUAGCUGUAUAGGCUCUAGGUUCACUACACAGAUGCUUGAGCCUUCUCUAGUCUUCAUAAACCUUUGAAGAAAAAGCAUUAAAAGUUUCCUGAAGGAAAGUCUGUACUGAUUAUUUUCAAUAAUAUUACUCCUUUUGGGGUGGAAAAUACAAAUUUGGAGACAGAUGAUUUCUUCUUAAAAUACUGUUUUUAUUGUCUCUCUGCAUUUAUUGUCUCCUAAGUACUCCAGGGCAAUAUUAAUAGGUUUAUUCUAUUAAGGAAGAGUAGUGUUUCCAAAAUAAUAGUUGAAAGAUACUGAUCUUCCCACUAGAAGGCUUUUGCACAGAGAACCUCUAUUGUUCAGGGACAGUUAUUUCUGGAAAACCUUGUAUCUCCUGUCUUCCUUACCUACCUGCUUUGCUAUUUUCAUGCUGCUGUGAUUUGGUAUCACUUUGCAUGCUAGUAAUUCUUUUUAUAGUAAGAUACAAUGCAACAUUGUUACUGGUCAGAAUUUGCUCUUAGCUACAUUGCUGUCAAUUCAAGGUAAGUUGGCCAGUAUCACUGGCAGAUGCACAGCUGUAAACAGGAUUUGUUUGCCUUUUUCUACCAAUCAGAGAUUUCUUUUUGUCCAUUUAAGAAUAUAUUAUUUUCGUUUUCCUCUUUAGAGGAAUAGUGUUUCUCUUGGCCAACAUCAGAUUAUUUUUCCAUCAGUUAAGAAAAGCUCUUGCUGCAGAUAACGGUGUGAUCUCCUGAUAUGGGUAGAAGCGUACUCUGAGAAAAAUUAAUAUUGAGUGUGAUACCUCAAUGUGUCUUUAACUGUCAUGUAAUGCAUUAUGUUUGCAUUUCACAGGACAGCUAGUUCAGAGGAUGCUGUUGAAAGUUUUACACUAUCUUUACCGUGGAAGAGAUAGGAGAACUACUUUGACCACUCUGGUUCCAGUUCAGGUAUAAAGCUGUGUAUUGUAGUCUUGAAGUCUGUGUAACAAAGAUGUCUGAGCAAUGUCCACUCAGGACCAUGUAUGGAUUUAACUUACCCUGCUGCCUUUCCUUUUGAAGUCCAGAUUGCAGAGUGAUUUGGUAGGUAAACUGGGCUGUGCUGUCAGUUUCACCCUGGAGAGUGUGAUUUUUUUAAAAAUCUGAUUUACAUGACAGGCAUACUUAAAAGACCGGUCCUGAGUCUCUGGUGGCAGGUGACAAAACUAAGGUAUUAAUAAAGAGAAGAGCUGAUAAUGCAACCUGUGUGAUCAAUCCUGUGCUGUGGUCUGUGUCCUCAGAGUGAUGAGCAGCAGCCAGGCUGAAACAUGUAACAGGAAGGCUGUGUGGUCUGCCACAGCUGGCUGCUGGCUACUAUUCCCAUCUUGUUAUAGAAUUCAUUCUGGUUAAUAAUAAAUUCAGUUAAAAACUAUUUAAGUAAAACAGCCUGAUGUGGCUUGUCAGAUACAGUAUUGUGUCGGGAAGCCAAAAGAUGCAUUUGCUCCCAGUUUUCUGUCGUGUUUUGUAACAGUAGGCAAAUUGCCCAUUCCUCCACUCAAAACAAAUCCAUUGUCAGUCCUGCUUGCUAGGCAGACAGAUUGUUUUGGGAAGAGGCUGUAUUUCAGGGUGUGCCUCUACAAUAUCUGGAUAGGCCAUGGCCAAGACAGGAAUGCCUAUCACGUAUGAGCAUCUGUAGCACGUGUCACUAUUACAGUGCAAAAUGAACCAAUGUGCCCUUGGAUGAUGACUCCCCUGCUCUCUGUAACCUGCAGUAGGUUUGGGAGAUGGCUCAGUAAAACCAGUUUUCAUAGAAGAAAUUGGGUCUUCAGGAAGAGAGAGUGAAAUGAGAGGGACAAGACGAUUGAUGCUGUUGACCGAGUUAAGAGGAUGAAAUGAGAUGUGGGACAGAGCCUGGUUUGGGAGGAAAGGCACAAUGUUUGCAACUGACUUAACAUAUGGCAGCAAAUCUGUGAAGUGGCUCAAAUAAAGGUCCUAAAUGUUUUGUCUGUCCUACAUACCCAUGGCAAGUUCAAGCACAGUUAUCUGGGCUGAGCUUCCAGGGCUUAGGGAUCAUCAUGUGCAGGGGCUUUUCACUCUCCCCAGUUUGUGACUGACCAUGAACACAGAGGUGAUUUCCUCUCUUCCUGGAAUUGAACCAUGCCUUGAUCCCAAGCCUCAUGGGAGAAAAUUGAUAUGAUAACAAACAGAUAAUGAAUCUGUUUGUCCUCUUGUUUACUGAGUUGUAAACGUAAAGAAAAUCAGCAGCAAUUGGAGAUGGAAUAUUGCAAAAUUUGUGUUAGUGAGAAGAAAAUAAGACCAGUAUGUUUUUCAGUUUAAGCAAAAAGAAAAGCUGAACAACUUCAUAGGGGCUUUGUUCAGUUGCUUUUAAAAAUGUAAAGAAAAUUCAAGAGACGAGUGAAAAUAUUUGAAUAACAUUAGCACUUCAUUUCAUAGCUACCUUGUUCUCUUGCUGAUCCUUCACUAAAAGUAAAACUUUGGGAACUGAUGGAAUUCAGAAAGUAGCAAUGAAAAUCAUUAAUGGGAUGCUGUCAUUUACUAGGAAAGUGGUUGUGGCUGACAUAUACAAGGUGCUUUGAAAGGACCCAUUAGCACUACGGCUGGAAGUGAAAUACUGAUUAACAUGAUCAAGAUUAUUAAUUUGCCAGAUGAAACAAAAACUAAGAUAUGUCAUAUAUUAGAAGGUAGAGAGGUGAGGAUUUAAUCACAUUUGUUAACUUUUCUCUAACAGAAUCACUUCAUUACAUACCUUGAUUUGUAAAGGCAAUGCUUCCAAAAUGGUAGGUAAAAAAAGAAGAUAGUUUUAAUGCAUUACAUAAGGAGACAUAGGGCAUCAAAGCUAGCAUGAGGCACUUGAGAAAAAAGAUUAACAAACUGAAGCAGACAUUUGAGUUUCAUAAAGCAAAUGGCCCCUGCCAGCAUUUCCUUGCACUUGUCAGUUCUGGCCCUCUGACUGAUACUAAAUGAGUAGCUUCAUACAAUAAGAAAAAUCAGAUUCUUUAGUUGCUUCACAGAUUCACCUGUUUGCCUGUGCAGCUGUAGCUACCUUGCCAGUUGGCUGAACAGCAGUUCUAGGUAGGUAACACUAAGAGCAGAAACUCUUAAAAUGUGGCAGCAUAUGUGAAAAAGAGCAAAGGACCUACUUUUUGUAGCUGCACUAUUCAAGUAAGUAUUGUUUCAUAGCUUUAGUGGAUCACCUAGAGACUUCUUCCCUCAUAUUUGAAGACAGGUUACUUUGUGAAAUAUGAUACUAGGGAUUGUGGUGUAUCCAAAAGCAACAUAAAUGCAUUGCAGAUUGGUUUUGCUGUUUCAGAAACCAUGUUCACAUACACAGUCUUGAAAGAAGGUGGGAGCAAAGCCAACAUAGAAUUAACCACACUGAAUAACUUGCACAUUUUCCAUGAAGUCUUUCAUGUAUUCUCUGCUUUUCAAAAGUGAACAAGGGCCAAAACGAGCCACAUCACUUGGAUUUGCUAUAAUGAACUCCUGCUUCUCUGCAGUCUGAAUCUAAGCCACUAUCCUACACUUACCACAUCAUAAGAAACCACUAACCCUAACCAUGAGACCAGUACAUUCAUGUCUCUACAAUAUGUUCGUUACACUCACAUUAAUAAAGGAAUAUAAUGUUACAAUGCCUGUGCCAUUAAACAACACCUGUUCCAUACAAUGGAAACAAGGCACUCCAUCAUUAAAUAUAUUAUCUUCUUAACAAAGAACUGCACAACUGUUUGGCUAGAGCUGUGAAGCAAAUGGUCUAUUUACAUAUGAAAAGAAAUUUGUGUACAUUUGAUGAAUGACAGAAUAAUUGCUAUAUAUGGUAAGGGAAAUGGAAGUAAAAUAUUUCGUAUAUUCAUUGCUGCUAUUGCCAGUAAGCUGGAAAUGCCUUGAUAUAGCUGUGAAUGUACCUUUCUUGACCAGUUAGGCAAAGCUUACACAGGCUGUGGGCAGCAUCACAAGAGUAAGCUUUAAUUCUAGGAAUCUUAGUGGAAAAGCUCUGGUACAAUGUGUUCAAAUCAUCCCCUAGAAACACACAUAAAAUGGGUUUUGUGUACUUGAUUUCACAGUUCUGAGCACUUAGAAGCCUGGUCUGGCUUUAAACAAAUUCCUGAGUGUGAUUUUUUUUUCCUUUUUAUUUAGUGGACAUUCUUAUUUCUUGUUGUCAUUCAUGUUAUUCUCACCAUACCUUUAAAACCACCCACAAUUAUGGGUCUUGGCCCUAGAUAAGCAACCCCAGCCCAAACCUCUGUGGAAACAGUGGGGGAAAGGUUAAAGGGGUAGAACACCCCAAAGUGGGUUCUAUGCCUUCAGCAACAAGCUGCAGGAUAGAAAGAGAUGUGAUCAAAGGCUUUAGACAAGGGAAAAUGAUAAUUUUCUACUUCAGUCACCUCUUCUACACACACAUGCAUACAUAUACACAAAAGGGAGGAGACUUUUCUUUGCAAAUUUCACUUGAAAUUGCUGCUGUCAGCUGUUAUCUGGAGCUAAAUACUAGACACAGAGUAAAUGUGCUACCCUUGCUGCAAUCCAAUUCUCACUGACCUGGUAGGAGGGGAAGAUGGCAGCUUUGGUGCAAUGCAGUCAGUGAAAAGGUGAGAAAUAGCAGGUGAAGCGAAGGACCUAGAUGGCUGGGGAAGAACAGUAGGUUCUUGAUUUAGGAAUAUCCAUGUUUAGAGGUGUUGAUCUGAUAUGCAGAAAUACCAAACCCUCACAGCAGAAACUGAUGGCAGUGAGAAUCAUGUUCGGCAAAUAUAGAGUGCUCUUGAGUACUGAAAAUUGGAGCUGGCAACUCAAACUGGCCACACAAAUUAGCUUACUGUAUAGACAAAUUUAACUUUUUUUCUCACUGAAACUCAUCUCUUUGUGCAUCUAAAAAUACUAGUAAUGACAUCACACUUUUAGUAAAUGUAUUCAGGUUUAUUUAAAGGGAAAAUAAAAAGUUAAACAGGAAACAAUGUGAACAUAUUAUAAUGUAGAAGCCAGAUAAAAACCUGAGAAAAAGAAAAUUUCUCUUUUGCUUGUAGGGUUUGAAAAGCAUGCAGCAAAUGACACCUGAGAUCUCAUGCUGAAUGAGUAGGAUAAACAUAAGUAUUGAGUAACUGCCCAUUCACUGAAAGAAGGCAAGGUUCUAGCAGAAUAUCUGACCGUGUUUUACAUUAUUUACUUGUCUAUAGGUAUGAAGUGUGUAACUAAACUUGGCCACGGGAACUGAGCUCAGGGAACAUGAUGGGGGGGCUCAAUUAAGAGGCAGAGAAAAACCUUAAUCCUAUUGCUUAAUUUACCCAGGUUCAAGGGCUUGAUUUUGUGAGUCUAAUUAUUCUUUUCACAGUUUUCUUCUCCAAUGCAGUUCAUGGGUAUGGAAAACAACAUGCGCACUUUCUGAAAGACAGCUGGCACAGCUGGUUCCUCAGCACACAUGACCACAAACCAAACCUCAUACUGUCAGCUUAAUCUUUGCUUUGGCUUGUUUAGAUUAGUGACCCAUCAAAAUGUGUCAGUGUAUACCAACCUUUUCUUCCAUAAACAUUUUUUCCCUCUUAUAGCUGAUUUUUGUAUGUGCAGCAUUCUGCAAGCUGCAUAAAUAUCCAGUUCCUUGUGGUUCAUAAGCAUACCCAGGAAAUAGUGAUUGCCUGGUAAAGCAUUUUAGGCUGGCAACUUGGGAUCUCUGUAAUGAGAUCUUGCACAAUGUUUGUUCACUCUUAGAAGAUCAGAACGUUCCUUGCCAAACCCUCAACCUUUAAGUGGAAAUAGGACAUAUUGCCCUUCCAAGAAGACACAGAUAGGAUGGCACAACUCUUCUGACACAGGCAGAAGCAAAGAGACCUAAAAGAAGAAGGUAGGCUCAUCUAAGAAGAUGUGUAACCACGAUUUUCCUCCUUACUGACUCUUGGCAGCAGGUUUCUGCAUUCGUGUUUUGGAACAUAAUGCAUAGCAACCAUGUGUGGGCAAGCAAGAAGAGCUACAACUAUUAGAGCUUUCAUACCUGGUGAAUAGAACUACAGCUCAUAAUAAUGUGAUUUGAUCUGUUUUCAAUUCCUCAUAUUAUUUUUAACAAAAUACAGUUUCUCGCAAUCACAAUGACAAAUCUGGUAUUUAAAACCACAGCAUUUCAUCAAAACUAGGAACUGUAGUAUACCAAAAAAAUGCCCUAAAUAUAAUAAACUGCUGCACUGACUUCUUUUUUGUAUUUUUUUUUUCUGGUGUUUUAUUUCUAUCUCCAUUUAUCUUUACAAGGAUGUUGACAGUUGAUAAAGCUGGCAACGGCACAAAAGAGAAGGGCAGCUAUUCUUCCUUCUUAGAUUAUCCCUAAAUUCUGAUCAUCACAUUAUUUGUUGAAGAAAGUAACCCUAGGAAAAGAAACAGGUAAAAGAAAGAUUUUUUUGAAACUAUAAUAGAAACAGUACUUUUUUAAACUGUCAAAUGAUAAAUUGUCCCAUUGGAUUUUUCAAGAGUGCCUCAUGUCCAUUUUGGAACAAUCAAGUUUUAGUAUAUGGUCAUGGGUUAAAUAAUGAUAUAUUGUGUUGAGAUUCAUAUAAGAUUCAGUAUACUAUGUAAACUAAACUUCCACUGUCAUUUAUGCAUGUUUGUCACUGUCAAGAAUAAAAAUAUUUCAAAAGAUUCAGCAAUUGGUUUAACUUUAAAUGAGGUCCACUGCCAGAAAAAGUUACCAGGAUAAUACAGCUUCUCCUGAAAAUAUUAUUCUUCUUUUCUGUCCUCAGUUAAACAAACUUUGUAGACCUUGUGAAAAUACAUGGUUUUAGUUAGUGGAAAAAGGGUUGGGUAUUUUGUUUAACAAUAGAGGACAUUGUGUUUAUUUCCUUAGAUUGAUGCAGAGAUGCAAUAUCACAAAGUAAGCAAACUCUUGUUGCACUCUGGCAUCUUCGGCCAGUUUUGCCUUAAGGACACAGUUAUAAGGAGGUGAUGAGGUAACUGUUAGUAAACAAAUGAACAGAAAGGAUGUUAAUACUAAGAUAUGACAAGGGGGCCAGCUAGAGCAGAGAAGAGGCAUUUUUGUCUUCUACUUAGGCCAGUCAAAACUGGAAUCCCAAGUUUUACAUAGUGUAAUAUCAGAUAUGCUCAAUGCAUAGCAUGGUCAUAGCGCAGUAAGACAGCAGAUGUUAUGACAGACAGCCUUCAGCUGAGGUUGUCAGAAAUUUAUAUGGCAUCAAAGCAUCCCCAUCUCACCAGAUGUCCUAUUCCAUGAGCCAGAUAGGCACCUACAAGCUGGCUCCCUGGCUGGCUUUUUCUCUGAGGCCCCAAGCAAAAGACAAAGCUGAUUAGCUUGAGAUCCAAGCAGAAUACAGUACUGAGCAGAACUGAUAAAUUAAACUCAUUUACAUUCUUCCUGCAAAGAUUCUUCCUUGAAAAGAAAAAGUUUCAGAUGUGUUGUCUACUCCAGACAUACUAUUACACAUUCCCCCCCUUCCUCUCCCCCCGCCCCAGUUUAGUCUUUCUGUUGAAGAAGAGGUAUGUAGCUGGAAAAAGCUAGAUUUAGACUUUGAAUUACAGUGCAUAAUGUUGCUUUCGCAAGUAAUAAAGACUGGGCACACCAAAUUUGGAAUGGAAACGACAGCGAGUUUCAACCUCUUACGACUCUUACCCAGCAACAGCCCACUUACAAGGCUGGCAGAAGGGAACACAGAGGAUGACUGCUAUAGAGCAGCAUGCACGUGGCUGUCAUUUGUAGAAAGUUACGUGUCUUAUGUGGCAUUGUCAUGUACUAUAUUUUUCAGUCUUUCUCCCCUAUCAUUUUUUUUACUUGAAAAGGCAGACGACUAUUUACUUCAUUUUUCUGUUGGAUGGAUGUAGCUUCUUUUCCCUUCCUAUUUUUCAAGGUUAUUUAAAUAAGAUUCUACUGAUUUUAACAGACAUGAGAGAAGUCAUAUUGAAAGCCAUGACAAUGAAGUCCUGCAUUAGCUUCAUCUAUGAAAUGAUGACACAACUGCACAAGUUGCAGCCAGCCGACCUUCUGAAACAGGUCAAGGGCAGGUUCUAUGUAUUUGAAAUUAAUUCAUGUUUUUUUGUUUAUUUCAUUUUGAACUCUCUUCUGAAGGUGUAUCAUGUUUUUGAUGCUAAUGAUAAUAAUGAUGGAGCUAUUUAUAUUAACCUGAUACCACAAGCAUGUCUUGGUAGGGCAUAUGUUGUACUCCAGCAAUUAUAAUGUUGGUCACUAAUGACCAAAGAUAGCCCAGUGCAUUAGCUAGUACUUUUAAAAGUAUAUGUUAAUUAGAUUUAAUGAGAUAAUUUCCCAAAAAGUAGCCACAAAUAAACUCAUAAAAACAUAAGAAUUUCCUUAGCCCUCUCAUGUACUUAUGCACAGAUAUGUACUUUUGUAUUCAUACAGUUCCUAGUGAUGUGGUGAUUAUUCCACAGGGCACAGUGGUGGGAUAAUUGCUUACUCAUUUUGAGUUCCAGAAAUGAAAGUCUGUCUCUUUAAAUGUGGCAAGUAAACAGCUUUGAAAGAUUUUUACUCAUUUUUUAAAAAAUAAUUUAUUAGGUUUUUCAACUAAGGAAUUAAAAAUCCUGACUGUUUUAAUGCCAGUUUAAAAAGGGCUAGGAAAGCUACAAAUAGCAUGUGCUGUAAAUCUGUGCCAUGGCAGAAACAAUCAGAAGAGUAAAGAGUAAUGAUUAAACAUUUAAUCAGAAGCAUUAUACUUUGUUGUGUUCUCAUUGUAGCUGCAGGAAAAGAUGCUGUAACAGAUCUUUAAAUAGAAAACCUGAGGCUAAAUUCUACUUCAUCCAUCAAAAGCAGCUGCUAGGAGAUGACCUAAUUUUAGUGGCUUAUCAAUUCCUUAGUGCUUGUUGGUUGAUGUAACUUUGAUUCUCUGAUGUUAGAUGACUUUUGUGCUGAAUAUAGCUAGAAUUUAAUGUGAAUCUUUUGGAUGGCUGCCCAGCCAAGCUGCAUAAUCCAAACAAAGAGAGCGAGCAGUACAUGAUUCAAGCUACUCACGUGUACAAUAAUACAAAUAUCUGUAUCCUGAUUCCUUUGGGCAAUCAGCUCCAUGUCACCAAGCACAUAUUUCAAAUACAAUGUCCUUGUGGGGGGUUUUUUUGUCUGAUUUUUUUUUUUUUGUUUCUGUUUUUGUAGUUUUUUUUCCCCAAACAAUACUCUGGUUUUCAUUGGAAAAACAAC
Long non-coding RNA from Poecile atricapillus (Black-capped chickadee), 14845 nucleotides. RefSeq lists it as uncharacterized. Lineage: Eukaryota; Metazoa; Chordata; Aves; Passeriformes; Paridae. The record is from RefSeq and is a predicted model, not a curated record. The transcript is spliced from 3 exons.